Molecule: ribosomal RNA, 236 nt
Filed under: uncultured Glomus
Lineage: Eukaryota; Fungi; Glomeromycota; Glomeromycetes; Glomerales; Glomeraceae
Description: partial 18S ribosomal RNA
Rfam family: Eukaryotic small subunit ribosomal RNA
Source: RNAcentral
UUGGAGGGCAAGUCUGGUGCCAGCAGCCGCGGUAAUUCCAGCUCCAAUAGCGUAUAUUAAAGUUGUUGCAGUUAAAAAGCUCGUAGUUGAAUUUCGGGAUCAAUAUUUCGGUCAUGCCGUUGGUAUGCACUGUUAUCAUUGAUUUCUCACCUUCUAAAAAACCGUAAUGCCAUUAAUUUGGUGUUACGGGGAAUUAGGACUGCUACCUUGAAAAAAUUAGAGUGUUUAAAGCAGGC